CCCACCAACAAGCGAGAGCCACGUGGCUACAUAAACUAGACAAAGUCUCUUCCUGCAACUAUUCAACAACAACAAAUAGCCAUCCUGACGUUGAUCGAUUCUCUGGAGGAGCAAUUACUACUUAACAGGCUUCCUGAGCAGCUUGAUUAUGUUCUGCUUCUGUCCAAGGCCUUGCUGACCAUGCGGGUAAUAAUUUGAUAACAAGAGAGCUUAAUUUAAUUAAGGGGCCAUUUUCUACAUCAUAAUAUCUUUGUAGGUAAGAGAUUUGAUUUGCAGUACAUACCCUUCCUUCUCUCUGCUGUCUGCAUUUGUCUGGUUUACAAGCAAAAAAAGAAAACAUUACCCAACCUCCACUCGAAAAGACUUUCACAUUUCAUACAGCAUUUUCAAAAAGCAGCUUUGCUAAAAAUAAACAUACAUCUUACCUCUCUCCCACCCCAUAACCACAAGUGAGUUGUAGCUCUUGCUUUCUCAGAGGCAAGGGGGACUUUCUGUUUGUGCAAGGGUGAAUAUAAGGCAGUGAUCACGUAUAGAUCACGCUGUCUUCAACGCUCACUUUCUUUAGAUAACAGGGUGCAAUUCAGUGUGCACGGCUCUAACCUGCAUUGCUGACCUUGGGCAAUCCCCAGCUACAUGCAAGCAUCCUACUCCUGCAGUGGCCCACAAGCACUGGGCCCUCAGAGAACAGGAGCCUUCCAGAUAACUGAGCUGCAGCAUACAAAGCAUUAGAUGACAUAAUACUUCAUUACAAGAAAAAAAAAAAAACAUAUAAACAAAUGGAGGCUCUGACUGGUAACACUGGGAAAGCCACGGUGCUUCAACUCACAAAAAGCUGUAGACAAAAGCUCUCUGGGGAAGGGGGGCUAUUCGGAGAGCUCCGUGCUGCUGUGCCGCGCAGCGCCAAGGCGCUCUGUCAUAUAAUAAUUGGUCCUGACCACACCUAGUGCAUUAGUCCUCAUGUGGGCUGCAAAUACAACCUCAUUACUCCUGGCUCCUGGAUGAGCAGAUCAGAAGGGGAUCAAACUACAGCACAAACCAGAAGCCAGAAAUUCAAGGGACAGCAGCACAACAAAACCAGGGAGAAACAGGAACUUUUCGAAGCAGAUCCCAUCAUCUACCUGGAGCAGGGAGCAGCACGGCUGCAGCCAUCCCCAGACAGCCUACCUGCACUGCAGUACUGUGGGGAACGAUGCCGGACUCCUUUGCAAUCCACUUCCUCAAGGUUCUGCGGGAGCUGCUGGCGUUUGUGCUGUUCAGCUACACCGUGCUGGUGGGAGCACUGCUGCUUGCUGGCUGGACGACGUAUUUCUUGGUGCUCAAAUGACAACUCCUUCCCCGCUCCUGCAGUCCUUGGCUGGCCAGAAGCACCUGGCUCCACUGCACAGCUCGUCCCACACAUCUGCUCAGCACACAGGAUGGCACCUCCUUCCUCCUGCACCAACUCUGCAAGCAUUUUGUUCCAUUACCACCUCAUCAUAAUUUUAUUUUCAUAUGUAAAAAAGAAAGAUUAAAACAAAUACUAUCUACAUGCACGCACCAUUCUGUGUGGCUCUUUCCAGUUCUGC
This 1565-nucleotide long non-coding RNA is filed under the name Gallus gallus (chicken). Its description in RNAcentral is "long non-coding RNA NONGGAT002818". Lineage: Eukaryota; Metazoa; Chordata; Aves; Galliformes; Phasianidae. The record is from RNAcentral.